This 460-nucleotide ribosomal RNA is filed under the name uncultured bacterium. Its description in RNAcentral is "partial 16S ribosomal RNA". It matches the Rfam family "Bacterial small subunit ribosomal RNA", at positions 338 to 795 of the family's 1533-position model. The record is from RNAcentral.
CCUACGGGAGGCAGCAGUGAGGAAUAUUGGUCAAUGGGCGAGAGCCUGAACCAGCCAAGUCGCGUGAGGGAAGACGGUCCUAUGGAUUGUAAACCUCUUUUGUCGGGGAGCAAAAAGGCCUCGUGAGGCCACAAGGGAGAGUACCCGAAGAAAAAGCAUCGGCUAACUCCGUGCCAGCAGCCGCGGUAAUACGGAGGAUGCGAGCGUUAUCCGGAUUUAUUGGGUUAAAAGGGUGCGUAGGCGGAAUAUCAAGUCAGCGGUAAAAAUUCGGGGCUCAACCCCGUCGUGCCGUUGAAACUGAUGUUCUUGAGUGGGCGAGAAGUAUGCGGAAUGCGUGGUGUAGCGGUGAAAUGCAUAGAUAUCACGCAGAACUCCGAUUGCGAAGGCAGCAUACCGGCGCCCAACUGACGCUGAAGCACGAAAGCGUGGGUAUCGAACAGGAUUAGAUACCCGAGUAGUC